RNAcentral lists this ribosomal RNA (462 nucleotides) under uncultured bacterium. RNAcentral's name for it is "bacterial SSU rRNA". It matches the Rfam family "Bacterial small subunit ribosomal RNA", at positions 28 to 507 of the family's 1533-position model. The record is from RNAcentral.
GACGAACGCUGGCGGCGUGCUUAACACAUGCAAGUCGAGCGGUAAGGCCCUUCGGGGUACACGAGCGGCGAACGGGUGAGUAACACGUGGGUGAUCUGCCUUGCACUUUGGGAUAAGCCUGGGAAACUGGGUCUAAUACCGGAUAUGACCACUGAUCGCAUGGUUGGUGGUGGAAAGAUUUAUCGGUGUGAGAUGGGCCCGCGGCCCAUCAGCUUGUUGGUGGGGUAAUGGCCUACCAAGGCGACGACGGGUAGCCGGCCUGAGAGGGCGACCGGCCACACUGGGACUGAGACACGGCCCAGACUCCUACGGGAGGCAGCAGUGGGGAAUAUUGCACAAUGGGCGAAAGCCUGAUGCAGCGACGCCGCGUGAGGGAUGACGGCCUUCGGGUUGUAAACCUCUUUCGACAGGGACGAAGCGAGAGUGACGGUACCUGUAGAAGAAGCACCGGCCAACUACGUG